GGCGCAUACAAAGAGAAGCGAACUCGCGAGAGCAAGCGGACCUCAUAAAGUGCGUCGUAGUCCGGAUUGGAGUCUGCAACUCGACUCCAUGAAGUCGGAAUCGCUAGUAAUCGUGGAUCAGAAUGCCACGGUGAAUACGUUCCCGGGCCUUGUACACACCGCCCGUCACACCAUGGGAGUGGGUUGCAAAAGAAGUAGGUAGCUUAACCUUCGGGAGGGCGCUUACCACUUUGUGAUUCAUGACUGGGGUGAAGUCGUAACAAGGUAACCGUAGGGGAACCUGCGGUUGGAUCACCUCCUUACCUUAAAGA
Molecule: ribosomal RNA, 311 nt
Filed under: Klebsiella aerogenes
Lineage: Bacteria; Pseudomonadati; Pseudomonadota; Gammaproteobacteria; Enterobacterales; Enterobacteriaceae
Description: partial 16S ribosomal RNA
Rfam family: Bacterial small subunit ribosomal RNA
Source: RNAcentral